GUAGUUUAAUUAAAAACAAAAAACUAAUAAACUGUAGACUUAUAUAUGCUUUUGUAUGUGGACCGGGGUUCGACUCCCCGCAUCUCCACCA
Molecule: transfer RNA, 91 nt
Filed under: Mesomycoplasma conjunctivae
Lineage: Bacteria; Bacillati; Mycoplasmatota; Mycoplasmoidales; Metamycoplasmataceae
Description: tRNA-Und (NNN) (tRNA-Und-NNN-1-1)
Rfam family: transfer-messenger RNA
About the family: Bacterial tmRNA, also known as 10Sa RNA or SsrA, is named for its dual tRNA and mRNA-like properties. Its role is to liberate the mRNA from a stalled ribosome.
Source: RNAcentral